GACGAACGCUGGCGGCGUGCUUAACACAUGCAAGUCGAACGGAAAGGCCCUGCUUUUGUGGGGUGCUCGAGUGGCGAACGGGUGAGUAACACGUGAGUAACCUGCCCUUGACUUUGGGAUAACUUCAGGAAACUGGGGCUAAUACCGGAUAGGAGCUCCUGCUGCAUGGUGGGGGUUGGAAAGUUUCGGCGGUUGGGGAUGGACUCGCGGCUUAUCAGCUUGUUGGUGGGGUAGUGGCUUACCAAGGCUUUGACGGGUAGCCGGCCUGAGAGGGUGACCGGCCACAUUGGGACUGAGAUACGGCCCAGACUCCUACGGGAGGCAGCAGUGGGGAAUAUUGCACAAUGGGCGGAAGCCUGAUGCAGCAACGCCGCGUGCGGGAUGACGGCCUUCGGGUUGUAAACCGCUUUCGCCUGUGACGAAGCGUGAGUGACGGUAAUGGGUAAAGAAGCACCGGCUAACUACGUGCCAGCAGCCGCGGUGAUACGUAGGGUGCGAGCGUUGUCCGGAUUUAUUGGGCGUAAAGGGCUCGUAGGUGGUUGAUCGCGUCGGAAGUGUAAUCUUGGGGCUUAACCCUGAGCGUGCUUUCGAUACGGGUUGACUUGAGGAAGGUAGGGGAGAAUGGAAUUCCUGGUGGAGCGGUGGAAUGCGCAGAUAUCAGGAGGAACACCAGUGGCGAAGGCGGUUCUCUGGGCCUUUCCUGACGCUGAGGAGCGAAAGCGUGGGGAGCGAACAGGCUUAGAUACCCUGGUAGUCCACGCUGUAAACGGUGGGUACUAGGUGUGGGGUCCAUUCCACGGGUUCCGUGCCGUAGCUAACGCUUUAAGUACCCCGCCUGGGGAGUACGGCCGCAAGGCUAAAACUCAAAGGAAUUGACGGGGCCCCGCACAAGCGGCGGAGCAUGCGGAUUAAUUCGAUGCAACGCGUAGAACCUUACCUGGGUUUGACAUGGAUCGGGAGCGCUCAGAGAUGGGUGUGCCUCUUUUGGGGUCGGUUCACAGGUGGUGCAUGGCUGUCGUCAGCUCGUGUCGUGAGAUGUUGGGUUAAGUCCCGCAACGAGCGCAACCCUUGUUCACUGUUGCCAGCACGUUAUGGUGGGGACUCAGUGGAGACCGCCGGGGUCAACUCGGAGGAAGGUGGGGAUGACGUCAAGUCAUCAUGCCCCUUAUGUCCAGGGCUUCACGCAUGCUACAAUGGCUGGUACAGAGAGUGGCGAGCCUGUGAGGGUGAGCGAAUCUCGGAAAGCCGGUCUCAGUUCGGAUUGGGGUCAGCAACUCGACCUCAUGAAGUCGGAGUCGCUAGUAAUCGCAGAUCAGCAACGCUGCGGUGAAUACGUUCCCGGG
Molecule: ribosomal RNA, 1343 nt
Filed under: uncultured bacterium
Lineage: Bacteria
Description: 16S ribosomal RNA
Rfam family: Bacterial small subunit ribosomal RNA
Source: RNAcentral